GACGAACGCUGGCGGCGUGCUUAACACAUGCAAGUCGAACGGAAAGGCCCUGCUUUUGUGGGGUGCUCGAGUGGCGCACGGGGGAGUAACACGCGAGUAACCUGUGCUUGACUUUGGGGUACCUCCAGGAAACUGGGGCGAAUACCGGAUAGGAGCUCCUGAUGCAUGGGGGGGGAUGGAAAGUUGCGGCGGUUGGGGAUGGAAUCGCGGCUUAUCAGCUUGUUGGUGGGGUAGUGGCUUACCAAGGCUUUGACGGGUAGCCGGCCUGGGAGGGUGACCGGCCACAUUGGGCCUGAGGUGCGGCCCAGACUCCUACGGGAGGCAGCAGUGGGGAAUAUUGCACAAUGGGCGGAAGCCUGGUGCAGCGACGCCGCGUGCGGGAUGACGGCCUUCGGGUUGGAACCCGGGUUCGCCUGUGACGAAGCGUGAGUGACGGUAAUGGGUAAAGAAGCACCGGCUAACUACGUG
RNAcentral lists this ribosomal RNA (468 nucleotides) under uncultured bacterium. RNAcentral's name for it is "partial 16S ribosomal RNA". It matches the Rfam family "Bacterial small subunit ribosomal RNA", at positions 28 to 507 of the family's 1533-position model. The record is from RNAcentral.